This 460-nucleotide ribosomal RNA is filed under the name uncultured bacterium. RNAcentral's name for it is "partial 16S ribosomal RNA". It matches the Rfam family "Bacterial small subunit ribosomal RNA", at positions 338 to 795 of the family's 1533-position model. The record is from RNAcentral.
CCUACGGGAGGCAGCAGUGAGGAAUAUUGGUCAAUGGACGAGAGUCUGAACCAGCCAAGUAGCGUGAAGGAUGACUGCCCUAUGGGUUGUAAACUUCUUUUAUAUGGGAAUAAAAUGUUCCACGUGUGGGAUUUUGUAUGUACCAUAUGAAUAAGGAUCGGCUAACUCCGUGCCAGCAGCCGCGGUCAUACGGAGGAUCCGAGCGUUAUCCGGAUUUAUUGGGUUUAAAGGGAGCGUAGGUGGAUUGUUAAGUCAGUUGUGAAAGUUUGCGGCUCAACCGUAAAAUUGCAGUUGAAACUGGCAGUCUUGAGGACAGUAGAGGUGGGCGGAAUUCGUGGUGUAGCGGUGAAAUGCUUAGAUAUCACGAAGAACUCCGAUUGCGAAGGCAGUUCACUGGACUGCAACUGACACUGAGGCUCGAAAGUGUGGGUAUCAAACAGGAUUAGAUACCCUAGUAGUC